RNAcentral lists this long non-coding RNA (40843 nucleotides) under Daucus carota (carrot). RNAcentral describes it as "long non-coding RNA (DCAR_LNC005915)". Lineage: Eukaryota; Viridiplantae; Streptophyta; Magnoliopsida; Apiales; Apiaceae. The record is from RNAcentral.
UGAGGUCCCUUGAAAGACUUUAUUAUCCUCUUAAGGACAUCUUUGAUAGUAUAUUCGUUGGAGACACAAACUUUAGCACGGGUGCCAAAAUGUCUCAACUUGUUAGAGUUGUACAACUUGAGGGCAAGUGAAGUCUUGCCCGAUCCCCCCAUUCCGUGAAUGGAAAUAAUUUUAAGGGGCGGAUCCUCGUUAUUAAGUUCUGUCAUCAACUUGUCAAUAUCCUCCUCGAAGCCAACCACAUCCACCUUGUUAUCAAUGGCGCUUGCUCUUAUCAAGGUUCUCUCUUUUUGUUUCACAUCUGGACCGGCUAAAAUAUUGUCGAUGCCAUACUCGAGGCGCCUCUCCUUGAUCACACCGAUCUUUUUCUUGAGUGACUCGAUAUUGUUGCCAAUGUCAUAAAGCUGAGCUUCUUUCUUGCAGAUGCAAAUACAGUUGAGAAAUCUAUCCAUAUGACCUUGUCUUCCAGCAGUAAGGAAUGCAAAUAUAAAGCAUCAAAUGUACGCUGCUCAAGUAAUUUAAAGUACUCACCAAAUCCAUUAUAAAUAGCAUGACGUCGUUGUCCUUCCAACAAAUGGAUGAGAUUUGGUUGGUCUUUACUUGAAUCAAAAAUAACCAACAACUUCUGCUCCUUCGCCUUUUUUAUGGCAAGUUCACGCACAAGAUCAUGGACCCGGCAUGUGCCAACUUUCCCAUUCAAUUGCAAACACUCAAUCUGAAUCAAGUUACGAUUAAUUAGCUCGUUCAGACAAUCCUCGGCCAAAUCCUCCAUAAGGACUCCAUCUUCUUCAUCUUCUGAUAUGAAUUCCUCUGCAAUCCAUAAAUGCUUCAAACGUUCGACGCGAAUAAUAUUGUCUUCUGGGAAUCGUGCAAGGUAGAGAAAACAAUCUUUCAUUUGGGGAGACAAGUCUUUAUAACUCAAGCUUAGUAUCUCUACAAUAUCCACCGAGUCAUCCCUCAAGUUUCGCCAGAUAUGCUGCGUCACCUUUGACCAAUAGUCAUAGCUCUUGUCGUGAAAUAAAAGGCCGCCCAGUAUCACAAUUGCAAGUGGUAAACCUCCACAUCUACCAACCAUCUCCCUUCCCAAGUUCUCCAGAUUCUGGGUGGGUUCCGCUGUCUUGCAGAACAAUUCCCAGCUUUCCUCUUCCCUCAAAAAACGAAGUUGAUAGGCUAAAGCAUUCUUAUCCACAGUCUCUGCGACUUUCUUGUUCCUUGUAGUUAUCAUGAUCCGACUACCGUUGUCCAGGUUUGGAAAUGCGAUCUUGAUCUGGUUCCAAGCUUUUAUAUCCCAUAUAUCAUCAAUAAGUACCAAAUAGCAACCGUCAUUCUGGAGUAACUGUGGUAGGUAUUGCAGCAAGUCACGCUCAUCCAUGUUUGAGAUAUAUUGUUCGUGCUGAGGUCCCUUGAAAGACUUUAUUAUCCUCUUAAGGACAUCUUUGAUAGUAUAUUCGUUGGAGACACAAACUUUAGCACGGGUGCCAAAAUGUCUCAACUUGUUAGAGUUGUACAACUUGAGGGCAAGUGAAGUCUUGCCCGAUCCCCCCAUUCCGUGAAUGGAAAUAAUUUUAAGGGGCGGAUCCUCGUUAUUAAGUUCUGUCAUCAACUUGUCAAUAUCCUCCUCGAAGCCAACCACAUCCACCUUGUUAUCAAUGGCGCUUGCUCUUAUCAAGGUUCUCUCUUUUUGUUUCACAUCUGGACCGGCUAAAAUAUUGUCGAUGCCAUACUCGAGGCGCCUCUCCUUGAUCACACCGAUCUUUUUCUUGAGUGACUCGAUAUUGUUGCCAAUGUCAUAAAGCUGUGCUUCUUUCUUGCAGAUGCAAAUACAGUUGAGAAAUCUAUCCAUAUGACCUUGACCUUGUUCCAGACUGGCUUGUCCAUCCUGAAACCUCUUCAAGAUAUCCACAGCUUCAUCGGCAACCUCUCUGACAGUGCUUAUCCAUAGACGGAUUUCAUCUUCUUCUUGCCUUGAUUCUGCACGUCUUACAGAAGCCUGGAGGAGGCCUAAUUCAUCUUUGAGCCAUCUUAUAUCAUCUCUAACUUCUAUUCGUAGGUUAACUUGGUGCACAAGAAAAUCACCAAGGUUUUCGAUUGCAAAAGAUACUAAAGCAUCAACCAUACUUUUGUAUGAAGUAGAAAAGAAAGGAAGGCGAAAGGUUUGUGAUUUUCGUGUGAGGCUCCAUGUAUACUCUAUAUAUAAAACACGCCUGAUACCAUAUUGACGGCUCAGAUGGAUUUAAAAAAUUGUCAAUGCUUUGGUAAAGAGUCUCAUCCAGGAUAAGCUAAUACUACCAAACAUGUUUAUAAAAAAAAUUAAAAAUGGCCAGAGCACCUGUAAUUCAAAUGCUUUGGUUACUCCAACAUUACUCGAAAUGAAUAUUUCUUGGACCAUUUUAUCAUGAAAAUUACCAACAAUUAAAGUACUCCGUGAUUCGCUACCCUGCGAAUCUGGGAUGCAUCAUGCAUUAUUGUUAGUUUUGUCUUUUACUUAUUAAAUAAUAGAAUUGAAUAUAAAUUUAUAAUUAUAUUUUCUUUCAGAUGGGGCUGGCAGGGAGUUUCUUAGAUGCAUGUGGAAGCGAAAGAGACGACUUUGGGCGAUGUUCUUGUUAGAGCAUUCCGGUUGGCUUCCCUAUAUGUUUCCCUAUUCUCAUAAUUUAGGAAAUUUCUUAACUUUUUAUCAAAACUGAAACUCAUGAAAAUAAUUUUGGGAAAUUAUUAAAUUUAGUAAGAAUAUAAGGAUAGGGAUGAGGUGCUUAAUAAGAAUGCUCUUGGACCUAGCGGAGGAAUAACGUGGCCCAGCUCGUCAUCGUAUUAUCUUACUUACGUUGACCCUUUCACGGCUUAUGUAUGGUGUUUAAAAAUUCACAUUAAAGGAUUUAAUUGUUUGUUUUAAUUAACUUGUAGAAUAUAGACAAUAAAAAAAGGGAGAUUUACAGAAUAUAUAAUUUGAACUUUUUUCUAUGAACGCAAGAGAAAAGAUGAUCAAUCUCAUAAAAAGUCAAAUUGAACAUAAUCAAUAAUUAUAAAAAUUAAUUGAAGAUUUUUUCACUGACAAAUUGAAAAACUUUGGACAAUGCGCAAACCUACAAAUUAAUUGGUAUCGUUGGAAGGUCAUAUAGGCAGAAAAUAUUAAAGACGGUUAACGAGAAGUGAAACCUCACAUCGUCUUGAUACUUGGAUUAACAAAUUUAUUAUAUAAAAUGGAGAUCUCAUCUUCAUUUAUAGUGUGUUCGGUCAGAGACAAUAAAAUGUAAUAAAAUGAAUUAAUAAAAUUAUUUGAAAUUAAUAGAGAUAAAAGGGAAAUUUCAAAAGGAAAAAAAUGAAUACAAAAUUAUUACUAUGAUAUUUGAAGAAAAAUGAAUAUAGGAAAAAAUGUAGCAUUGAAUCUCAAUUUGAAGAUGUGAUCUAGCACACAUGAUGAAUGGAAUAAUGGAAUAGAAGAGAAAAUGAAUUGUCUUAACAAUUUCGUAACAUAAUGCAUUUCUCGUUGCCUCUGAAAUCAUUGAUCGCAGCUAAACAAAAGAUUAAUGGGUAAAUCAUUCAAUUUAUAGCUCAGAGAGUACUCAUGGAUCUUAACCAAUAUGAAAGUUUUUAUACAGUAGUAUACUAAUAUUAAUUAUUAUUAAAUAGAUAAUAAAAUUAAAUAUAAUUCAAUAAUUAUAUGGAAAAUGCUAGGGACCCCAAAAAAUUGUCCCAAAUUUUUUUCCCAAAUGAGGUGUCUAAUCCUGAUUGGUUGCAUUUACUCUCAAAAUAAUGAGGCCCCCUUGUAGAUUCAUUCAUCACCCAAUCAUAACUCUCCACUUGUUUGCCACAUCAUUUGGUAACAGUUUUUGGGAAAAUUUUUUGGGAUACCUAGCAUUGCUCUAAUUAUAUUUUACUUUCACAUGGAGUCAUCAAUGCACCACACGGAGUCAUCAAUGCACCACAUGGAUCAUCGUAUAAUUUGGCCGCAAAAGUCUGGGGAGUCUGAUCACCAUUCACCAUCAUUCAACGACUCUCGGAAAGUCAAAUAGUACGAAAAUUCAUGAGAAAACGAUCCCAUUGCCUUGAUGACAACAUUGGAAUAUUACUUAACCUGCACGAGGAACGCUUAAUUAAGAAAACAAGAAAUAAAUAAGGACAACAGAAAUAUGGAAAAUGUUUCCUGCACAAGAUUAUAUAUAUUUUUCAUAAUAUGUUAAAUUUUGAUUGGAAUGAGUCCCUCGUGUACUCACCGGUAACAUAAAUUAAAACGUCUCAUCUCAAUUGUCAUGUUGCCUUGUUCGGGGAAAAUUGACAAUCAUGCCACAAACCCUACGAGACAUGGACGAAUAGUCUCCAACCUCAGAAUUAGGAGUGAGCAAAACACCGAAUAAAUCCGAAAUCGAAACCGCUAAAAAUCGAACCGUAUAAAACCGAACCGAAACCGAAUCCUAUAACUUAUAAAUUGAAACCGAAACCGAUUGUUCGAUUUCGGUUAUAGCUAGGAAUCGAUCUGAGAAAAACCGAACCGAUCCGAUUUUUAAAAUAAAUAUUAUAUAUUAUUUAUAUAUUUAAAAUAAAUUCAUGGAUUCCAAAUAAUCUAAAUUAUGGUGGUCUAGCUAUUACAAUAGACAUAAACAUUAAUAUGUAAAGCUGGUUCUGCUUGAACGAAAAACUAAAAAACUGCCUGGUUCAUGGUCCUGUAAUUCAUCAAGGUUGUGAAUUCAUUCACUGCUGAAUAAACUAUGCUAUCAGGCAGAGAUUUUGUUUCCUUCUAGAGACAAUUCUACAAAUGUUGAUGAUAGAAUCCGAUUUUGUUGCUGAACAAGUUAAAGCCACAACAGUGGAAAAUUUUAGUUCUGCUAUAAAGAAAUUUUAUAACACUUAAUGUUACUGACAUUGUAAUAUUAUAUCCGAUGAUUCUUUCAACAAUAGUUAAGAACUUAUCUUCUGUCGUCCCAGGUCAUGGGUUCGAUUCUGCCUCACUCUGAGAAUAUCUUAGAACAAAAAGCAAGACUAUACGCCAUAUUAGUCAAAAAAGAAGGUUCCAGACAACAAAUAUAAGACACACACGGUGUACCUCAUGUGCCUCCUGUAGAGCUAGGACCGCAUGGCUCUGAAAAUGCAAAUCAAUAUGCAACAACAAACCAAAAUUGCAUAUUACAAUAAAAUUCAAUACGAUAAGUGAAGAUGCAAUUUUAGUUCUUCGUUAUCUUCUUAAUGAAGCAGGUAUAUGAGUGUAUUUGAUUAUGUAUAUGUAAAACAUUUCACGUAAGUAGAAGAUAAAUCAAAUGCAAAGACUUGUAUAAUCAAAUAAGCGCAUUCCUAUUUUCAGCAGAAUAUCAUCUCUGGCCAUUCAUUUGAAAGUGAGGAUUAUAGAAGGUUUUUGUUUAAACCACUUCAAAGAAAUUUGCAGCUUGUGGCGAAGGUGUUCGAUGAGUUGCCUGUAUGAAGAUUUUUUUCAAUUGGUGAGUUUACUUGACAAUAUUUUGUUUUCUUGGAUCGCUACUAAGAACUUUUUAUGCUUUUAACCAUUGGGUUUUUUAAAGUGCUUGGCAUGUCUUCACUUAUUGUGUUUUUGAAGUGUUUGAUUUAGUGCUAGUUAAGACUAGUGGUAUAUGGAAAUCGAUCUUGGAACCUAGAAAUUGCACCAAGGUUGGGCUACCUUAAAAAUUCUCUCUUAAGUGAUUGAUAUAGGAAUUUGGGCCAGGAUGGCUGAGUUAUGGAACCUAAUGCUUUGAGAUCAUCGAGUAUGGAGCUUUGUUUACUCGAUAUUGUGUCAUUUCACGGGUUGUUGAAGCUGAGAGGUCACUCCAUUGAAUUGACCGAGUACUCGUGCUUAUUUUUUAGCUCUGUAAGCAAUAGUCCUCUAGUGGCAAGCAUAACUAGGACAUGUGUCUAUCACAAUCCUUUAAUGGACAGUUUUCUAGUGACAAGCAAAGUCAGGAUCCCUCUAAUGGUAAACAAAGUCAGGGUCCUUUAAUGGCAAGCUAAGUCAGGACAUGAGUUUAAACCUUUAUGGUGCCUGGAAAAUUCUGCGUCGAUUCUCGGGUUAAAAAUCUCGCCAAAUUCUGUUGAGGUAGGCCAUGAGCCUUGAAAUGCCUUUCGAAAGCAGAUGUUAACGAAUUAAGAAAUCGAUGGAGAUUUAAAAGGGAACCAUAACUAGGUUUUCUUCCAGUUUUUUUUAUAGGCUUAUCUUGCUUUGUCAAGUUGCUAUCAUUUUCUUCUAUAAAUCUGACAUCUUAACUUGCAUUCAGACAAGUUGUUGUGAUUCUUGAUCUCUGAUAUCUCUUCCAAUCUAUUUCUUCAAAUUCUUCUCCAUUUAUAAUCUUUCCUUCUCGCUUCUUCUACCUUUACGACUGAUCAUCUAUGGCCUGCAACUGCUAUCACUUUUAUAUUGGCGUCUAAACAUCAGUCCAUUAUCUUCAAGAUAAGAGCUCCACAAAGUUCCCACUCUUUAGUUUGAGGGUAGUUUUAGGGGGAGUGUUAAGGGAUAAGAUAAAAGGGUACUAUGUCUUUUUAUCCAGAACAUUUGUUUUUACUAGAAUUUAGUAUUGUUUGUAACCUUCUAUAUAUUCUUUUUAUGUACUAACUGUAGGAAGACAACUAAAAAGAAAUGUAGUCAAUUACUUUAUUUUCUUUCUUGUUCAUGCAUUACUUUUGAAGUUUACAUUUAUGGGUCUCACCAACACUAACUUAUAAAAUCAUCAGAAGAAUAUAUUGUUCCUUGAACAGAACUAACCAAAGCUGCAACAAAAAUAACAGCUUGCAAUUCUAUUUGUUCACCUCAUAGAGUUAUACAGUGGUCAUUUAUUACGAAACAUUUCAAUUCGUCUAACAACCAUGAUCCCUUGUAAUGAAGCUAAACAAUCUGUUAAACUUACAAUCAAAUCUUACAGGAAACCUUCUGCAACGGACAAACAUCAUUAUAAGAUUCUUAAUAAAUUUAUCUUCAAUCAUCUUAGUAACAGGCUUUAACUCCCUACAACACUCUGCAGAAAGUCACAAACCAUGUUUCCUUGGGCCUUUAACAUGGCAGUUAAAAAGAAUUUGUCCCUAAAGGCUCUAAUGUAAGGUUAAAAAUACUAAUCCUGUUAGGCAGUCUACUUCAUUCAGGAUUUUAAGUUCAAAUCUUAACAUUUAUGCAGUCAAUCUUAAGCAGAAGCAAAUUUAAGAUAGAACAGUAUGUAAAAAUAUUACUAGGCAUCUGCAGAAUUUACUCGCAAUAUUUUCCCUGAUAUACUAUUACAUAACUAGCACGAAAGAACUUUAGCUAAACCAGAAAAGUGGCAUUUUCAUUUUGUUAUCCUCUAAUAGUGGCCCUGUUUAAUGUGGAGGAAACUUCACAUACAAUGUUAAAGCUAGUUUCAGUAAAGUAAUCUAAGGACCGCAGCAAGAUUAUAAUGCAACUGAAUCCGCAAGGCUGAAAGUUCUAUGUUUACAUCAAUAUUAUGCAGAAAAAUAACUGACUGUAAGCUUUUGUUCAUAAUAUCUAUCCUAGAUGGUUAGUUUCAAGCCUUCCGUAAUUCAUAAUAUCACUCACCUUAAAACACCAAUAAUUUAUUCAGACUCAUACGAACUCUUUAGGUGUGGCUGGUGAAACGAGCCCAAAUAACAAUUUUUAUGUCAUAUGUCAUUUUAUAAGCCUUUGGUGAGUGGCCGCAGAACCUAAGCUUAAAACGAUACAACUGUUGGACAAGAAAACAAGAUCAAAAUCUCAACACAACAAACAAACCAACAAUUAGGAGCUCUUAAAUAUUACUCCCUCCCACUAGUUUCGUCUAACUUAAAGAUCCCUGUUUUUUAGGUCGACUUACAGAUUUUACUUGCUAGCUUUAGUCCCCGGCUAAAUUUCAAAUUUCAAUUUUUUUUCCAGACCUUGUAUUUAGGCUUCAGAAAGCGCCAUGCAUCCGGUUUCUGCAACGCUUAGUUGGUUUAGUAUUAUCCUGCCUUCGUCCAUAACUUCCAUGACUCUUUUUUACCCCAACAAACUCUUGUGAGAAGGUGCAUGUCUCGUGAUAAAGUUUUCAAAAUGUAAGGUUUCUGUCAGAAUAUAUUUCAGAAUAUGUUUGAAUAAUUGGAUGUUGAAGUUUCAAAAUGGGGCUUCAGGGUCAAUUUUCUUCAAUUUGUAUACUCUUUGUUCCCCUCUUCAGGUAGUUCUACUCAAUUGUCGAGUUUGAUCACCCACAGAAUAAUAAAAUCUUCUGAUAUAUAGUCCGUUGCAAUGUUGAAUCUAUUUCGGAAACUUGAAAUUAAAGAUAGUUUGGGUAAAGUAAUCUAAGGAUUGCAGAAAAUUAUAAUGCAGAUGAAUCCGCAAGGCAGUUCCAGGUUUACAUCAAUACUAUUGCAUAGGACUAACCGAUUUUAAGCUUUUAUUUAAUAUCAAUCUCAAGAUGGUUAGUUUCAAGCCUCCCAUAAUUCAUAAUAUCACCAAAUCACAACUUUUUUGUCAUUUGUAAGUUUAGCGUGCAUAAAAAUAUAGAAGCCUUCAGUGAGUGGCAGUAGAACCUACCUGAGCUAAUGUUACAAGUAAAUUGGCAAGAAAACAAGCUCAAACUAUCAACACAACAAACUAACAUAUAGGAGCCCCUCCCACUCUUUUUGUCUAAACUUAGAAAUUCACAUUUUAUUCAAUUACAAUAAAUUGAUUGAUAAUUAUCAAAAGAUUAUAUUAUUCUUGAAUAUAUUAACAUAGUUUAUAUUCAAUUUAUGAAACAUGAUAGUUUUGGAACAUGUCCAGGAGAAAAAAUGAGGGCUUCAAAGAAAUAAUGAAAAUAACAAACAACCAAUAUUAGUAAAUAAUUAAAAUUUCAUAUUAUAGUAAUAUCAUAUACAUACAAUCAAGCAAUGUUUAAGUAGAAAUAAAGAUACUGUAUCAUUUUGAGUACCGUUCAAAAUUCAAAUACUAAAUGUCUGAUCACUAAAUAUUCCAUAUAAUGAAAUUGAAGAAAAUAAUGAAAUCUUGAUAGGAAAAAAGUAAGUGCAUCUUAUAUAGUACAAGUCUAAACUUUAAUCGACACAAAUGGAAUUGAAAUACUUCAAAUUAAAUAGAAACAAAUUACCAAUAUCGAAGCCAGACAUUUAAAAUAAGAGACGAACCAUCCAUCUCACUUUUUCCGGAUUCGGUCAAGAAACGUUCUAGUUGGACAGGAAUCUUCUUCAGCUCUUUACAGUCAACUGCUUGAAAACUUUUGAGGCAAGGGAAUGCUCCGUCCUCAACUUGCAAUUCUUCCAGAUGCUUCACUCUUCUCAGUCUUAAAAUUUGAAGAAUCCGAAACGCAUUUUGACUGCAUACCAUUUUAUUUCCAAGGUACACUCUUCCAUCCAACUCAAGAGCCGUAAGAUUCGGUAAAUUUCCCAGGCUAGGCAUUGGAUCUUCCUUUAAGUGACUAUAACAUAGGGUUAAAUCCAUGACUGAAUCUGGCAGAAAACGUAAUUCUUUUAUAGGACCCACUAAGUAGACGCUCUUGAGAAGAUUCAAAGACGAAAGUGAUUCCAGUGAGUAACUUUCUUCAUUAAUAUUUAGCAUAUGUAAUGUACGGAGGUUAGUGAAAUUGACAGUAUCAAUCUUGAUCCAUUCCCUCAAUUGGAUACCUAUCAAAGAAUGGAGUUCUGUUUGGUGGUUACCUAUAUUCAACCUCCCGCUAAUUUGGGAGAUACAAGAAUUUGGGAAAUUUAAAAACAUGACAAUUCGGGUGUGGGGAUACGGCAAAUAUUAAAAUAUUUUAUAUACUCAAAAUCAUCCAAAUACAAUUACAUUAAAUCAACUACCGUCGAGUAACAUCACUGCUUUCUUAUAUUGAAUCAUCGUAUCUACAACUGCAAGUGUUUAUAGUUUAUACACCGGUCUAAUAGAAUUCGUGUGGGGUACGUGCAUAUGUAAAUGAAAAUGAGGGUACAUGUAUAAAAAAUGUGCUGCAGAAUAGGUGUUCAAGUAUCUUUAUUCACUUGCUAAAAGCACCAAGUGAAAUACAAACUUGAAUAAACAAAAACAUAAGUAUUAAGCUGGAAUGUAAUACAAACUGCACAACACAACAAGCAAAAGUGAAAUAUUUACAAUAUAUGCCAAUCCCGCACCCUCAUAUCCGAGAGUUCGUCGAUGCAUCACCACGUGACCUUUACGCACCCGUGGACCCCGUACUUAGUGAGUACGGGAUACAUUUUUUUUCCAAAUAUAUUAACAUAAUUUAGAUUCAAUUUAUCAAAUAUGAUAAUUUUGGAACAUGUACAGAAGAAAAUGAAGGCUAACAAACAACCAAUAUUAGUAAAUAAUAAAAAAAUUAUAUUAAUAGUAAUAUCAUAUACAUAUAAUCAAGCAAUAUUUAAACAGAAAAGAAAGAUAUCACUGUGAAUGCCAUCAAAAAUUUAAAAACUAAAUGUAUGAUCACCAAAUAUUCCAUAUAAUAAAAUUGAAGAAAAUGAUGAAAUCUAGAAAGGAAAGAAAUAAGUGUAUUUUAUAUAUAAAAGACAAGUCUAAAUUUUAAUUGACAUAAAAUGAAAUUUAAAUAUUUCAAAUAAAGAACAAGUUACCAAUAUCGAUAUAAGACCUCUAAAAUAAGAGAGAAACCAUCCAUCCCACUUUUUUCUGAUUUGGUCAAGAGACGUUCUAGUUGGACAGGAAUCCUCUCCAGCUGCUUACACCCAAAUGCUUGAAAACUUCUGAGACAAGCGAAUGCUCCGUCCUUGACUUGCAAUUCUUCCAGAUCGUUGAAGCGUCUUAGUCUUAAAAUUUGAAGACUCGGAAACGCAUUUUUACUACAAACCAUUUUAUUUCCAAUGUAAUAAUUUACAUCCAACUCAAGAGCCGUAAGAUACGGUAAAUUUCCCAAGCUAGGCAUUGGAUCAUUCCUUAAUUUACCACAGUAUAUGGUUAAAUCUAUGACUGAAUCUGGCAGAAAACGUAAUUCUGAUGAAUCUUCCAUAGCACCCACUAAGUACACACUCUUGAGAAGAUUCAAAGACGAUAGUGAUUUCAACGAGUAAUCUCCAUCAAUAUUUAGAAUAUGUAAUGUACGGAGGUUACUGAAAUUGGAUGUAUCAAUCUUUACCCAUUCCCUCAUUUGUAUUCCUAUCAAAGAAUGGAGUUCUGUUUGGUGGCUACCUAUAUUCAACCUCCCGCUAAUUUCAAUGAAUAAAUAGUACAAAUGCCUCAACUCAGGCAGCUCCCACAUCUCUCUGGGAACUGUGUAAUAACUGCCAUCGCUCCCACCCCAUAAAGAUUGUAACUUUUUCAGCUUGCCUAUACUUGCUGGCAUUGCUAAUGUUCCACGGUGAGAACCCAUUAAGCCUAAGAACUUCAAGAGAACCAAGUCACCUAUUUCUUCUGGUAUCCACUCUGCUUGUACACUUGACAUAUCUAGCACUUUGAGAUUUUUAAAUCUCGUGUACAUCAAUUUCAUUUCUUUUAAUUCCGCUUUCACAUUAUAACCUAGCAUCAGUAGCGAAUGCAAAUAUAAAGCAUCAAAUCUACGCUGCUCAAGUAAUUUCAAGUACUCACCAAUUCCAUCGAAGAUAGCAUGACGCCGUUGUCCUUUCAAUAAAUGGAUGAGAUUUGGUUGGUGUUUACUUGAAUCAAAAAUAACCAACAACUUCUGCUCCUUUGCUGUUUUUAUGGCAAGUUCACGCACAAGAUCAUGGACCCGGCAUCUGCCAACUUUCCCAUUCACUAGCAACGACUGAAUCUGAAUCAAGUUGCGAUUAAUUAGCUCGUUCAGACAAUCCUCGGCCAAAUCUUCCAUGAGUACUCCAUCUCCUUCUUUAUCUUCUGAUAUGAAUUCCUCUGCAAUCCAUAAAUGCUUCAAACGUUCGACUUCAAUAACAGCGUCUUCUGGGAAUCUUGCAAGGUAGAGAAAACAAUCUUUCAGGUGGGGAGACAAGUCUUUAUAACUCAAGCUAAGUAUUUCUACAAUAUCCACGGAGUCAUCCCUCAAGUUUCGCCAGAUAUGCUGCUUCACCUUUGACCAAUAGUCGUAGCUUUUGUUGUGAAAUAAAAGUCCGCCCAGUAUCACAAUUGCAAGUGGUAAACCUCCACAUUUACCAACCAUCUCCCUUCCCAAGUUCUCCAAAUUCUGGGUUGGAUCUGCUGUCUUGCAGAACAAUUCCCAGCUUUCCUCUUCCCUCAAAAAACGAAGUUGAUAGGCUAAACCAUUCUUAUCCACAGUCUCUGCGACUUUCUUGUUUCUCGUGGUAAUGAUGAUCCUACUACCGUUGUCCUGGUUUGGAAAUGAGGUCUUGAUCUGGUUCCAAGCGUUUAUAUCCCAUAUAUCAUCAAUAAGUGCCAGAUAGCACCCUUGCUCUUUCAGUAAUUCUGACAAGUAGUGCAGCAACCGAUGCUCAUCCAUGUUUGAUAUAAGUUGGUCUUCCUCAGGUCCCUUGAAAGACAUUAUUAUCCUCUUAAGGACAUCUUUGAUGUUAUAAUCGUUGGAGACACAAACUUUAGCACGGGUGCCAAAAUUUUUCAACUCGUGAGAGUUGUACAACUUGGUGGCAAGUGAAGUCUUGCCUAAUCCCCCCAUUCCGUGAAUGGAAAUAAUUUUAAGAGCCGGAUCCUGGCUAUUAAGUUCUUCCAUCAACUUGUCAAUAUCCUCCUUAAAACCAACGACAUCCACAUGUUUAUCAAUGGCGCUUGUUCUUAUUAAGGUUCUCUCUUUCUGCUUCAUGUCUGGACCGGCUAGAAUAUUGUCGAUGCCAUACUCAAGUCGCCUCUCCUUGAUCACACCGAUCCUUGUCUUGAGUGACUCGAUAUUGUUGCCAAUGUCAUAAAGCUGAGCUUCUUUCUUGCAGAUGCAAAUACAGAUGAGAAAUCUAUCCAUAUGACCUUGUUCCAGACUGGCUUGUCCAUCCUGAAACCUCUUCAGGAUAUCCACAGCUUCAUUGGCAACUUCUCUGACAGUGUUUAGCCAUAGACCGAUGAGUUUCUCUUCUUGCCUUGAUUCUGCUCUUUCGACAGAAGCCUGGAGGAAGCCCAAUUCAUCUUUGAGCCAUCUUAUAUCAUCUCUAACUCCUAUGCGUAUGUUAACCUGGCGAACAAGAAAAUCACCAAGGUUUUCAAUUGCGAAAGAUAGCACAGCAUCUGCCAUACUUCUCGAAGUCAGAAAGGAAGGAAGGCUGGGAAAUAUUGGCAAAAGAGUUUGGUAGGAGAUCAGUGAGAGAGUAAGGGAGUAAGAGUACUUCAAAGUGGAUCAGUGGAACAUAUUAUUUAUCAUAAUUUAAGUUUGUAUUAAAAUAUUGAUUUUGAGGGAUGUUCGAUUAGUGUGAACGAAACGUGGAGAUUCACGUGUAGAUGUCGGGAGCUUUUUAAGAUGCACAUGAGACGAAUAAGUUUUUUAAUACUCCGCAUGGAAUCAUAAGUUCACUAAAAAUCCUGUGUACAUAUUAUAAAGACUUUGGCUUUGAAAACUGAUGCAACUUUUUCUGCUUAUAUUCUUCUUGCCAUGUGGUAUGUGGUUGUUGUGUUUGUUUUAUAGCAACUGCAAGUUGAGCUGAAUAAAGAAUGAAUAAAGAAUGGAGUUUUGUUCGGUGGCUAUCAAUAUUCAAACCCCCCGCAAAUUUUAAUGAAUAUAUAACUCACACAGCUCGAAUAUCUCCCUGGGAACGGUGUAGAACUGUAGAUCUACCCAGCCCGUCCCAUAAAGCUAUAAAGAUUGUACUAUUCAAUGUUAUUUGGGGCUGUUCGACUUGGUUUACAACAAGUUACUUACUAACAAUUAGAAGUAAAAAGUUGUUUAUAAGCGAAAAAUAAAUUUUAAUUUAUCUGUGUAGAUUUAGUUCAAAUAAUCUCCACUGCCUCAGGCAUCUGUAAAUCCAAGGUGCUGUGCAAUACAACGCAGUAUUUCAAAUAUGAACUCCUCUACCUCCGCUGCAUGUUCCUGACAAAGGGCUGAACUGAUGAACUGUCCUACAAAACACGGUAUAUUUCAAAUAUGGACUCAAAAAUAUUUCUUCUUAGUGGUUCACAGUACUACACGUAAUGAUAAUGAUAGUGAAGUCGAGAUGCAGAGGAUAUGGAUAUAAUAUCAUUUAAGACACAAGAAAGUUUGCUGAUCACAACAUUGCAUCAAAUUUUAAUUUGACAGAGUAUUGAAAUCGAUCAUGCAGUUCUACAAUGCAUUUAUGCCACUCCCUCCGUCGCAGCUAUUUGUAUACAAAUGGUUGGGACACGGAGACCAAGAAAUUGUGUAAUAAAUGAGUAAAGUUGGAUGAAAAGUGGGUAUAGUGGUGGGAUCCAUAUAUAUUUAAUAAUAAAUUUGAGAUGGUGGAAGAAAGUAGUGGGUGUAAUAGUGUUUAUAUUAUUAUAAAAUGGAAAUAGUGGAACAAAGUAGCUGAUGUAAUGAUAUUUUAUAUUGGUGGGACGUCCCAAAAAGGAGGGAGUAUUGAGUAUUGUGGCCCCAAUGGCUGACAGUAUAAAAUUUCAGAGCCGGAAAAAAUAUACGCCUCCUCUGUUAAUAGACCAAAAUUAGGCAAGAUACAAGAACAGAAGUGCUUUAGUUUCUGCUCUUCACCCUAUAUUAUACAUAUUAUCUUACUUGGACAAUAGGAAUUUCUGUGGUGAAAAGUCCAUGACAAUGCAAUAAUAUCUACCAGUCUACCACAACUCAAAACUGCAGAAGCUUGAACAAAGUAAUAUGCCUAUUCAUCAGUUCUGUGUUUGGUUCUAAAUUAAAGGCAAUGCCUAUAGUUAAUUUUGAAUUACCAUUAUUGGACUUGGAUGUCUAAGUAGGAGAAACUCAAACUCCAUGAGGGAUUUCUUAUGAUUUAAGCUCAAGUUCACAGAUUUAACUUGGGUCCCUUGAAAGACAUUGUUUAUCCUCUCAAGGACAUCUUUGAUGGUAUGUAAAUUAAAAUGAGGUAUAUGUACAUCAAAUGAGGAUAUAAGUACAAGAAAUGUGCUGCGAAAUCGGUAUUAAAGUAUUUUUAUUCAGUGCUAAAAGCCCCAUGUAAUAUACAAACUUGAAUAAACAGUAUUAAGCAUGAAUAUAAUACAAACUGCAGAACAUAAUAAGCAAAAGUGAAAUAUUUACAAUAUAUGCCAUUCCCGACCCUCAUAUCCGAGAGUUCGUCGACAUGCCACGUGGCAUAUCCAGUACGCGCACCCCUCACAUCACAUUUAGUGCGUACGGGAUAUGUAAUUCCUUCUGGAGAAGAAUCCCUCCUUUCUAGGUCGACGAAAACUCAAGUUAAAGAUUUUACUUGCUAGCUUUAGUUCCCAGCUCAAUUUCAAAUUCUGAAAAUAUUGUCCAAAACAUUGUAUUAGGCUUCAGAAAGCGCCAUGCCCAUGCCUCUGAUUACUGCAAAGCUUAGUUGGUUUAGUAUUUCUGUCAGAGUAUAUUUAAGUUUGUAUAAAAAUAUUGAUUUGAGCACAUUGAGAUGCACAUUGAGAUGUUGGGAGUUUUUUAAGAUGCACAUGAGAAGAAUAGGUUUUUUAAUAGUCAUAUGGAAUCAUGAUUCACUAAAUUGUCCUCUGUACAUUUUAUAAAGACUUUGGCCUUGAAAACUGAUGCAGCUUUUUCUACUUAUUUUCUUCUUCCCAUGUGGUUGUGUUUCUUUUGUAGCAACUUCAAGUUGAGCUGAGUUAACUAAUUAUACCAAAAUAUACUGUAACAAAUAAUGUAUGGAGCUUAAUAAAAUUGACAGUAUCAAUCUUGACCCAUUCCUAUCUAUACUGAAUAAAGAAUGGAGUUUUGUUCGGUGACUACCAAUAUCUUCAAACCCCGCUAAUUUUAAUGAAUAUAUAACUUAGGCAGCUCCCAUGUCUUCCUGGGAAGUGGGAACUGUGUAGAUCUACCGAGCCCGCCCCAAUCCCCAUAAAUCUAUAAAGAUUGUACUAUUCAAUGUUAUUUGGGGGACGUUCGACUUGGUUUAAAAAAAGUUACUACUUGUGAGCAAAAAGUUAUUAUAAGUGAAAAAUAAAUUUUGAUUUAUUUAUUUGGGUAAUCUUAUGAUAAUUUAUAACUAAUAGGUAUAGAAAUUAGUAUUAGAAUAGUAAAACUAGCUUAGAAGGUACGGGCACCGUUGUGUAUACUAAUAUGUGUUUGAAUAAAAGGUUAUAGGCUGAUGUGUGUUUGAAUAAAAGGAUAUAUGUAGAUUGCUGUGUAGUUUUCUUCUCCAAGAACUUAUGAAUCAAAGCUGUGUUUUAUAUUUCAUGCUGUCUCUAUGGAAUCACAAAUUUGUCAUUCUAUGAUGAGAGAAUCCUAAUUAUGAAGAUAUACUUCAAAUGACGUCCACUGCCUCAGUCAUUUGUAUAUGAUGCAGGCUGCAACAGGACUGCCUUUCGAAAAUCCAAGGUGCUGUGCUAUAGAACUCUUGCCUUUAGAAGCAAUGAAGAGGGUUGUCGAGCAAAACCAGAAAUUUCAAGUUUGUGAGUUAACAGUUAUUGAGAAACACAAAUAAUUAUUCAUAAUUGUUCCCUUUCUGUGACGAAUUUCAGCCACUUUUUUGCUAAUUUUAAAAAUCAGCCACAUUUUUACAAGUCAGUUUAUAAUAUAGUGAAACUUCUGAAAUUUACUCUUAUUUGAAAUGAUGCAGGGACCACCGCAACCCCAGUAAGCAGCGAUAACAUAUAAUAUUUGAGCUGCAACCGUUAAAAGCAUUUGGCAAGAACUUAAUCCGACUAAUGUUAAUAUGCUUUAGACAAUGAGUAAUGGUACGUAUCUCAAAUUUUGUUUCCAGUUUUUUUUUUCCAAAUGACGUGGCAGACAGAUGACUAAUUUUAAUUGCGUGGUUUAUGUACAUAGAUACGGGGGUCUCAUUAUCAUUAGUGUGAGCGAAACCAAUCACAUUGCCAAUAAGAUUUGAGAACACUUUCUGGUAUCUAGUAUUUCCUAUCAAACAUCGCUAAAGACGAGAAUUGUACCAGUAUUCAUUAUCAUUUGUUCUUGAGUCUUACAAAGCUUAAGUUAUCAGUUAUGGUUGAACCUCGCGAAGGAGGAUCAUCGUAUAGUUUGGCCGCAAAAGUCUGGGGAGUCUGAUCACCACCAUGCAACGAUGCUUGGUAAGUCAAAUAGUACAAAAACUAUGAGAAAACGAUCUCAUAACUCAUUACCUUGAUGACAACAUUUGGAAUACUUCUUUCCCUGCACGAGGAACGGUUGGGGCCAUUUGAAAACUUCUGAAUGCUGCUGAACUGAUUGAAAACUGAAUCGCUCAGUCGCUAAGCUCGUUUGAUAAAUUACUAUAUUAUCUGAUUGAUUCUUAAAACUUACUGAAACAUUCUGUGUUUUAAUUUUUAUUUUUUUUGAAUCAUUCAGAUUAUAAUAUUUACGGAAACUUGACUACUGCAAUACAUAUUUUGCAAGUGUUGAAUAAUUAAUAUAUUGUUUCCUAUUGUUUGAAAUCAUUAACCAUGAAAUUAAUUUGAUAUUUGUUGAUCUCCUGUAUACAAUUAUAUUAUUUAAUUAUUCCUUAAAGAAUACAAUUAUUUUUUCCAAAAUUAGUAUCCUUUUUGAAGGCUUAAUGACCUUUUAGCUCUCGAAAUAUGGGUGAAAGUUCCGAUGCGGCCUCAAUGUUUAAAGCCGUUCGAUUCGACCCUUAAAGUUUCACUAUUGUAUCUUUUAGCCUUUUCUUUUCUUUCAAAUAACGGUAUAUAACGGGGAUAAACUUGACAAUUCAUAUUCAGGAUAAAGUCUGGGUGUAUUCUUUUAAGCCCUAAAAUAUACAUCUCGUUCCUUUUAACCCCUGAAGAAUACAUUAAAAUACAUUAGAUGUUACUUUUAACCCUCGAUGUUUAAUGCCUUUUUAACCCUCGCGUGUGAAAUAUCAACUUUGUCCACCCCGUUAUAUACCGGUAUACGCCACAAGGGCUAAAAGGUAUAAUCUAAAAACUUGAAGGGUCGAAUCAAACGACUUUAAACUUUGAGACUGCAUCGAAACUUCCACCCAUACUUCGAGGGCUAAAAGGUCACUAAACCUUUUUUGAAUUAUAUAAUGUUCUCUUAUAUUUUCGUGACUAUAUUUUCAUUGAUUAAAAUAUUGAAUAAAUCUUAUAAUUAUUUGAUUACUGUGUUUAAUAGGUAUCAUAACUUAUAAUUAAAUAUAUUUUUCGAAGAGAAAAUUGUAAAAUUAAAAUUCAGGUCAUUCUGAAAAAUUGCGUAUCAAAUAAUUUUAUUCAUCUAUAUCAUUCUGAUAUCUUAAUUGGGUUUGUCUAGUGUGCUUAUGGGCACGUGUUAAGCACCAAAUUUUAUAAGUUUGAUGGUUUUUUAUUGGUAUGGUUGGUGAAUUUGUAGGGGGGUCCACCAUUAUAAAAAGUAGGAGCCAAUAAAAAUCCACCAAACUUAUAGAAUUUGGUGUUUAGUGUGUGGUUAUGAGCACACUCACUAGAAAAAUCGAUAUUAAUUAAUCAGAUAAAUAACAUUUAGACUUGUCAAAUGACCGGUCAAGAAUACAAGAAAUAAAUAAGGACAGCAAGAAAUAAAUAAGGACAGCGGAAAAACAGAUGUAUCAACAAAUCUCUGCGUUAUGAUAGUACUGAAUGGCCUUCUGGGCGAAAAAAGUCAAAUUAGCAAUCUCUUAUUGAGUUAAAAUUAAAUACUUCCUCGUCUCACCCAUUUUUUUAUAUUUUUUUUUGGGGUGUUCCAUCCAAUUAUUUAUAUUUUAAAACUUAUCAAAAAUAGUCAAUGGAUCCCAUCAAUUCUCCAUUUUUUUCUUUUUCACACUACUUUUAUUCCACUAUCUUCUUUUUAUAGAUUAAAAGUCAAUGGAUCCCACCACUUUACCCAUUUUUCUUCCUCUUUUUCACUAUUUUAUAUAUAUUUCUUAACCUGCAUACCCAACCCAUUCGAUAAGAAAUGGUGGGACUAUUGAAUGCCCUGUGGAUUUCUCGCACGAGAGAUGCUGAAGUAACAGAAUGAAAUUAAUGGUCUUAAUAGAAAUAAGAAUAAGCAAUGCCAUGAUACUGGUACCUAAACAAUUUUUAGCCAAUAUCAUCAUAUCAAGGACCUCUGUAUCUGAUUAUGUAUAUGUACAUCAUUUGACGUAAUUAGAAAAUAUUUCAAAUGCAAAGACUUGUAAAAUCAAAUAAGCGCAUUCCUAUUUUCAGCAGAAUAUCAUCUCUGCCCAUUCAUUUCAAAGUGACGAUUACCAAAGGUUCUUGUUUAAACCAGGUCAAAGAAAUUUGCAGCUUGUUGGGUGAUGCGGCGAAGGUGUUCGAUGAAAUGCCUGUAUGAAGAUUUUUUCCAAUUGGUGAGAUUACUUGACAAUAUUUUAUUUUCUUGGAUCGCUACUAAGAACUUUUUAUGCUUGUGACCAUUGGGUCUUUUAAAGUGCUUGGCAUGUCUUCACUUUAUUGUGUUUUGAAGAGUUUGAUCUAGCGCUGGUUAAGACUAGUGGUAUAUGAAAAUUGAUCUUGGAACCUAGAAAUUGCACCUAGUUUGGGCUACCUUAAAAAUACUCUUUUAAGUGAUUGAUUUAGGAAUUUGGGUCCGGAAUCCGGAUGGCUGAGUUAUGGAAUGGAGCUUUGUUUACUCGAUAUUGUGCCAUUUCACGGGUUGUUGAAGCUGAGAGGUCACUCCAUUGAAGUGACCGAGUACUGAUGCUUAUUUUUAGCUCUGUAAGCAAUACUCUAGUGGCAAGCGUAAUUUGGACAUGUGUCUAUCACAAAUUUCUAAUGGUUGGCAAGCCAAAUCAUGACUUUAAAGAAGUUGAAAUAGUUUUCUAGUGACAAGCAAAGUCAGGAUCCCUCUAAUGGUAAACAAAGUCAUGGUCCUUUAAUGGCAAGCUAAGUCAGGAUGUGAGUUUAAAUAUGUAUGGUGAACCUGUAUGGUGCCUGGAAAAUUGUGCGUCGAUUCUCCGGUUAAAAAAUCUCGCCAAAUUCUGUUGAGGCGAUGAGCCUUGAAAUGCCUUUUGAAAGCAGAUGUUACUACUGGUGAAAAGGAAUUAAGAAAUCGAUGAAGAUUUAAAAGGGAACCAUAAGUAGGUUUUCUUCCAAUUUUUUGAUAGGCUUAUCUUGCUUUGUCAAGUUGCUAUCAUUUUCUUCUAUAAAUCUGACAGCUUAACUUGCCUUCAGACAAGUUGUUGUGAUUCUUGAUCUCUCAUAACUCUUCCAAUCUAUUUCUUCAGUUUUUUCUCCAUUUCUAAUCUUUCCUUCUCGCUUCUUCUACCUUUACGACUGAUCAUCUUCUUUAUAUGGCCUGCAACUACUAUCACUUUUAUAUUGGCGUCUAAACAUCAAUCCAUUAUCUUCAAGAUAAGAGCUCCACAAAGUUCCCACUCUUUAGUUUGAAGGUAGUUUGAGGGGGAGUGUUAAGGGACAAGAUUAAAGGGUACUAUGUCUUUCUAUCUGGAACAUUUGUUUUUACUAGAAUUUAGUAUUGUAACCUUCUAUAUAUUCUUUUUAUGUAGUAACUGUAGAAAGACAAGUAAAAAGAAAUUUAGUCAAUUAAUUUAUCUUCUUUCUUGUUCAUGCAUUGCUUUUAAAGUUUACAAUUAUGGGUCUCACCAUCACCAACUUAUAAAAUCAUCAGAAGAAUAUAUUGUUCCUUGAACAGAACUAACCAAAGCUGCAACAAAAAUAACAACUUGCAAUUCUAUUUUUUCACCUCAUAGAGUUAUACAGUGGUCAUUUAUUACGAAACAUUUCAAUUCGUCUAACAACCAUGAUCUCUUGUAAUGAAGCUAAACAAUCUGUUAAACUUACAAUCAAAUCUUACAGGAAACCUUCUGCAACGGACAAACAUCUACUGUACAUUAUAAGAUUAUUAAUAAAUUUAUCUUCCAUCAUCUUAGUAAAAGGCUUUUACGCCCUACAACACUCUGCAGAAAGUCACAAACCAUGUUUCCUUGGGUCUUUAACGUGACAGUUAAAAAGAAUUUGUCCCUAAAGGCUCUAAUGUAAGGUUAAAAAUACUAGUCCUGUUAGGCAGUCUACUUCCUUCAGGAUUUAAGUUCAAAUCUUAACAUUUAAGCUGUCAAUCUUAAGCAGAAACAAAUUUAAGAUAGAACAGUAUGUAAAAAUAUUACUAGGCAUCUGCAGAAUUUACUGGCAAUAUUUUCCCUGAUCUUACAUAACUAGCACGAAAGAACUUUAGCUAAACCAGAAAAGUGGCAUUUUCAUUUUGUUAUCCUCUAAUAGUGGCUCUGUUUAAUGUGGAGGAAACUUCACAUGCAAUGUUAAAGCUAGUUUCAGAAAAGAAAUCUAAGGAUCACAGCAAGAUUAUAAUGCAACUGAAUCCGCAAGGCUGAAAGUUCUAGGUUUACAUCAAUAUUAUGCAGAAGAAUAACUGACUGUAAGCUGUUAUUCAUAAUAUCGAUCCUAGAUGGUUAGUUUCAAGCCUUCCAUAAUUCGUAAUAUCACUCACCUUAAAAGUUAAAACACCAUUAAUUUAUUCAGACUCAUAUGAACUCUUUAGGCGUGGCUGGUGAAACGAGCCCAAAUAACAAUUUUUAUGUCAUAUGUCAUUUAAUAUGGCGUGCAUAAAGAUAUAGAAGCCUUUGGUGAGUGGCCGCAGAACCUAAGCUUAAAACUUUACAACUGUUGGACAAGAAAACAAUCUCAAAAUCUCAACACAACAAACAAACCAACAGUUAGGAGCUCUUAAAUAUUACUCCCUCCCACUAGUUUUGUCUAACUUAAAAAAUCCCUGUUUUUUAGGUCGACGAAACUCAAUUUACAGAUUUUACUUGCUAGCUUUAGUCCCUGGCUAAAUUUCAGAUUUAAAAAAAUUGUCCAAACAUUGUAUUUAGUCUUCAGAAAGCGCUAUGCAUCCGGUUUCUGCAAAGCUUAGUUGGUUUAGUAUUAUCCUGCCUUCGUCUAACUUCCAUGACUCUCUUUUUCACCUUAACAAACUCUUGUGAAAAGGUGCAGGCCUCAUGAUAAAGUUUUAAAAUUUAAGGUAUUUUUCUGUCAAAGUAUAUUUCAGAAUAUGUUUAAAUAUAUAAUUGGGUGUUGAAGUUUCAAAAUGGGGCUUGAGGGUCAAUUUUCUUCGAUUUGUAUAUUCUUUGUUCCCCUCUUCAAUUAGUUCUACUCAAUUGUCGAGUUUGAUCACCCACAGAAUAAUAAAAUGUUCCUAUAUAUUGUCCGUUGCAAUGUUGAAUCUAUUUCGGAAACUUGAAAUUAGGCUUGAGUAUAAUUAUCCGAAACCGAUCCAAACCGGCCGAUCCAAACAGUCCAAACCGAAUAUUUCGGUUUCUCAACGGUUUGGUUUGGUUUUGGUUUUGAUAAUUAGAAAACCGAAAAUUUUCCGUUUAGUUUCGGUUUUCACCUUCAAACCGAUCGAAAUAUCCGAACCGAACCGUUAGCACAUGUGUUAUAUAAUUAUUAUUUUUAUAUAUUUAAUUAGGUAUUUAAGUGUUCAAGUGUUAGAUCAAUAUUAUAGAUAUUUUUCUUACUUUUGAAAUUGUUCUUCUCCUUUUUCUCCAUCUUUAUUUUAUUAAUUCUUCAUUAAUAAUCAACCUUUCAUCUUUUUCUUUUUUAAAUAAAAUAUUUUGUUUAGUUUUUAAAAUAAAAUAAAUUAUUUGUUUCAUAACAACGUAUUAGGGUAGCACCUGAAAUUAUUUAUAUCGAAGAGUUAUACAAGUUUCACCUUUAUUUAAUAAAUUUUGUGAAGUGACAAAAAAGGGAACACCUAAACUUAUUAUGAUUUAAUAAAAGUGUACAAUUAUUUUUAAUAUUUUGGUAUUGAACCGAAACCAAACCGAACCGAUCCGUUAAGAAUCGGUUCGGUUCGGUUUGGUUUUUAUAGCUUUUGGUUGUUAAUUUUCGAAACCGAAAAUUUCGCUUUGGUUCGGUUUGGACCUCCAAACCGUCCAAACCGAACCAUGCUCAGCCCUACUUGAAAUAUUAAAGAUAGUUUCGCUAAAGUAAUCUAAAGAUUGCAGAACAUUAUAAUGCAGCUGAAUCUGCGAGGCAGUUCCAGGUUUACAUCAAUACUAUUGCAUAAGACUAACUGAUUGUAAGCUGUUACUCCUAUUUAAUAUCAAUCCCAAGAUGGUUAGUUUCAAGCCUCCCAUAAUUCAUAAUAUCACCGAAAAGAAUAACUAAAAGUAACAUGAAACCUUUAGGCAUGGCUGGUGAAAGGAACCCAAAUCACACUUUUAAUGUCAAUGUAAGUUUAUGUAGCAUGCACAAAGUCACAAUUUUUAUGUCAUCUGUAAAUUUAUGUAGCAUGCAUAUAGAAGCCUUCAGUGAGUGGCAGUAAAACCUACGCACCUGAGCUAAUGUUACAAGUGUUUGGUAAGAAAACAAGCUCAAACUCUCAACACAACAAACAAACUAGGAGUAAGUGAGUAACAGAUGGCAUGGGAGCCCCUCCCACUCAUUUUGUCUCAACUCAAAAAUCCACAUUUUAUUCGAUUACAAUAAAUUAAUUGAUAAUUAUCAAAAAAUUAUAUUAUUUUUAAAUAUAUUAACAUAGUCUAUAUUCAAUUUAUGAAAUAUGAUAGUUUUGGAACAUGUUCAGGAGAAAAAAAAUGAGGGCUUCAAACAAAUAAUGAAAAUAACAAACAAUCAAUAUUAGUAAAUAAUUAAAUUUUCAUAUUAUAAUAAUAUCAUAUACACACAGUCAAGCAAUAAUUAAAUAGAAAGAAAGAUAUCGCUUUGAAUACCGUCCAAAAUUCAAAUACUAAAUGUCUGAUCACCAAAUAUUCCAUAUAAUGAAAUUGAAGAAAAUAAUGAAAUCUUGAUAGGAAAGAAAAAUAAGUGCAUCUUAUAUAUUACAAGCCUAAACUUUAAUCGACACAAAUGGAAUUGAAAUACUUCAAAUUAAAUAGAAACAAAUUACCAAUAUCGAAAAAAGACGUUUAAAAUAAGAGAGAAACUAUUCAUCUCACCUUUACCGAAUUCGGUCAAGAAACGUUCUAGUUGGAUAGGAAUCUUCUUCAGCUCUUCACAGUCAAGUGCUUGAAAACUUUUGAGGCAAGGGAAUGUUCCGUCCUCGACUUGCAAUUCUUCCAGAUUGUAGACACUUCUUAGUCUUAAAAUCUGAAGACUCCGAAACGCAUUUUGACUACAUACCAUUUUAUUUCCAAGGUACACUCUUCUAUCUAACUCAAGAGCCGUAAGAUUCGGUAAAUUUCCCAAGCUAGGCAUUGGAUCUUCCUUUAAGUGACUGUUACAUAGGGUCAAAUCCAUGAUUGAAUCUGGAAGAAAACGUAACUCUUUUAUAGGACCCACUAAGUAGACGCUCUUGAGAAGAUUCAAAGACGAAAGUGAUUCCAGUGAGUAACCUUCUCCAUCAAUAUUUAGCAUAUGUAAUGUACUGAGGUUAAUGAAAUUUACAGUAUCAAUCUUGACCCAUUCCCUCAUUUGUAUACCUAUCAAGGAAUGGAGUUUUAUUUGGUGGCUACCUAUAUUCAACCUCCCGCUAAUUCCAAUGAAUAAAUAGUACAGAUGCCUCAACUCAGGCAGCUCCCACAUCUCUCUGGGAACUGUGUAAUAACUACCAUCGCUCCCACCCCAUAAAGAUUGUAACUUUUUCAGCUUGCCUAUACUUGUUGGCACUGCUACUGUUUUACCGCCAUUACUCAUUAAGCCUAAGAACUUUAAGAGAACCAAGUCCCCUAUUUCUUCUGGUAUCCAAUGUGAUUCUACACUCGACAUAUCUAGCACUUUGAGAUUUAUAAAGCUCGUGUAAAUCAACUUCAUUUCUUUUAAUUCCACUUUAUCUUCAUAACCUUCGAGCAGGAGAGAACGCAAAAAUGAAGCAUCAAAUAUAUGCUGCUCAAGUGAUUUCAAGUACUUACCAGUUCCAUCAUAAAUAGCAUGACGCCGUUGUCCUUUCAAUAAAUGGAUGAGAUUUGGUUGGUGUUUACUUGACUCAAAAAUAACCAACAACUUCUGCUCCUUUGCUUUUUUUAUGGCAAGUUCACGCACAAGAUCAUGGACCCGGCAACUGCCAACUUUCCCAUUCAAUUGCAAAUACUCAAUCUGAAUCAAGUUGCGAUUACUUAGCUCGUUCAGACAAUCCUCGGCCAAAUCCUCCACGAGUACUCCAUCUCCUUCUUCAUCUUCUGAUAUGAAUUCCUCUGCAAUCCAUAAAUGCUUCAAACGUUCGACGUCAAUAAUUUGGUCUUCUUGGAAUCUUGCAAGGUAGAGAAAACAAUCUCUCAUUUGGGGAGACAAGUCUUUAUAACUCAAGCUGAGUAUUUCUACAAUAUCCACAGAGUCAUCCGUCAAGUUUCUCCAGAUAUGCUUCUUCACCUUUGCCCAAUAGUCAUAGCUAUUGUUGUGCAAUAAAAGGCCGCCCAGUAUCACAAUUGCAAGUGGUAAACCUCGACAUUUACCAACCAUCUCCUUUCCUAAGUUCUCCAACUGGUCGGUUGGUUGUGCUGUCUUGCAGAACAAUUCCCAGCUUUCCUCUUCCCUCAAGAAACGAAGUUGAUAGGCUAAACCUUUGUUAUCUACAGUCUCUGCUACUUUCUUGUUUCUCGUGGUAAUGAUAAUCCUACUACCGUUGUCCUGGUUUGGAAAUGCAGUUUUGAUCUGGCUCCAAGCGUUUAUAUCCCAUAUAUCAUCAAUAAGUACCAAAUAGCAACCUUGAUUCUGGAGUAACUUUGACAGGUACUGCAGCAAGUCAUGCUCAUCCAUGUUUGACAUAUAUUGUUCGUGCUCAGGUCCCUUGAAAGACUUUACUAUCCUCUUAAGGACAUCUUUGAUGGUAUAUUCUCCGGAGACACAAACUUUAGCACGGGUGCCAAAAUCUCUCAACUCGUUAGAGUUGUACAACUUGGUGGCAAGUGAAGUCUUGCCCAAUCCCCCCAUUCCAUGAAUGGAAAUGAUUUUAAGGGCCGGAUCCUCGCUAUUAAGUUCUUUCAUCAACUUUUGAAUAUCGUCCUUGAAACCAACCACAUCCACCUGUUUAUCAAUGGCACUUGUUCUUAUUAAGGUUCUCUCUUUCUGUUUUACAUCUGGACCGGCUAAAAUAUUGUCUAUUCCAUACUCGAGUCGCCUCUCCUUGAUCACACCGAUCUUUUUCUUGAGUGACUCGAUAUUGUUGCCAAUGUCAUAAAGCUGAGCUUCUUUCUUGCAGAUGCAAAUACAGUUGAGAAAUCUAUCCAUAUGACCUUGUUCCAGACUCGCUUGUCCAUCCUGAAAUCUCUUCAGUAUAUCCACGGCUUCAUUGGCAACAUCUCUGACAGUGCUUAUCCAUAGACGGAUUUCAUCUUCUUGCCUUGAUUCUGCACGAUUUACGGAAGCCUGGAGGAAGCCUAACUCUUCUUUGAGCCAGCCUAUAUCAUCUCUAACUCCUAUUCGUAUGUUAACCUGGUGCACAAGAAAAUUACCAAGGUUUUCAAUUGCAAAAGAUAGCACAGCAUCUGCCAUACUUCUCUAAGAAGUCAAAAAGAAAGGAUGGCUGGGAAAUAUUGGCAAAAGAGUUUGGUAGAAGGUCACUGAGGGAGUAAGACUACUUCAAAGUGGAACAUAUUAUUUAUUAUAAUUUAAGUUUAUAUUAAAAUAUUGAUUUGAGCUUGGACGUUCGAUUAGUGUGAACGAAACAUGGAGAUGCACAAUGAGACGAAUAAGUUUUUUAUGAUGCACAUGAGACAAAUAAGUUUUUUUUAAUAGCCAUGCGGAAUCAUAUGAUUCACUAAAUUGUCCUCUGUGCAUUUUAUAAAGAGUUUGGCCUUGAAAUUUGAUGCAACUUUUUCUUAUUUUCUUCUCCCAUGUGGCUGUGUUUGUUUUAUAGCAACUGCAAGUUGAGCUGAGUUAAAUAAAUUUAUACUAAAAUAUAAUUCAGGCCGCUCCUAUGUCUCCCUGGGAACUGUGUAGAUCUACCAAGCCCGCCCCAUAAAGCGAUAAAGAAUGUACUAUUCGAUGUUAUUUGGGGCGGUUCGACCUGGUUUAAAAGAAGUUAGUUACUGCUUAUAGGUAAGAAGUCACGUAUAAUUGAACAAUAAAUUUUCAUUCUUCUGUUUGGAUAAUUUUUUGAUAAUUUAUAACUAAUAGGUAUAGAAAUUAGUAUUAUAAUAAUAAAACUAGCGUAGAAGCAUGUGCAAGGUACGCCUACUGUUGUGUAAUAUGUGUUUGAAUAAAUGGUUAUAGACUAAUGUGUGUUUGAAUAAAAGUUUGCAGGCUGCAACAGGCCUGCCUUCAGAAAAUCCAAGGUGCUGUGCAAUACUCCCUCCGUCCCAUAUUGAGUGAGCUGUUUUGACUUUCACGGAGAUUAAGAAAAAGGUAGUAAGUUUAGUUGAAAAGUGAGUAAAGUUGUGGGACCUAUCAAUAUUUAAUAAUAGAUUUGAGAUAGUGGAGGAAGAUAGUGGGUGUAAUAGUGUUUAUAUUAUUAUAGAAUGGAGAUAGUGGAAGAAAGUAGUGGGUGUAAUAGUGAAAAGUAGUGUUCAAAAAUAGUAAGUAUGAUAGGUUCAUUCUUUUUGGGACGUCCCAAAAAGGAAUAAGGGUCACAUAAAAUGGGACAGAGGGAGUACAAAGCAGAAGCAAAUCUUGAUACUCUUGCCUUUAGAAACAAUGAAGAGGGUUGUAGAACAAAACCAGAAUUUCAAGUUUGUGAGUUAACAGUUAAUUUUUAAUUUUUCCUUUUCCGUGACGAAUUAAUUUGUUAGUUAACUGAGGUUAUUUACUUGAAUAUAUCUUCACUGAACCUGUUGUUACAUUACUUGUGUAUAUAUGCAGAAUUUCUGAUGAUGGGUGACGAUGAUCAUCACAAUGAUUAGCUAAAUUAAUUAAUCAAAUACACAACGCUUAUGAAACCACUGCAGAAUAAUUUUUUUUAUUUUGUGAUGCAUUUAUCUGACUAUAUAUAGGCAAAAUUUUGUGGCACUUGGUAAUAAGGAAAUACUAAAUUAUUACUAUGAUAUAACUAAACACUUUAGGUAUUGUUGAAUUAGACGGCUAAUUUUGAUUAGAGAUAGUCGAAUAUAUAUAUAUUUUUUCAGUCAGAAACGGUCAAAAUACAACUUCGAUAGUCUUAGGGGGUGUUUGAUAACUCUUAAUAGCCUCUUAAUAGCCAUUUUACUUAUUCGGUCAGAGAUUUAAUUUUUUUAACAGAUUAUCAAACGUGCUUAAUGAAACCAAAACACACUUAUUGGAUAAGAGCGUGGACUCUCGCUUAGUGGGUAAGAGAGCCUCUGAAUAGGGUUUUCCAAUGUAUACCCUCAAACUCAACCCUUUAUUUUCACCCAUCCUGCGUUUAUGCUAGCUGCUUUAACAGUGUGUUAUCAGAUACCCGUCACUUUUCUUCACUUUUCUUUAAAAAAAUAAAGAAUUGAUUAAUCUUGAUAUGGGCUAUAAAUAUAUAAAAUUAUAAAAAUUUUGGAUGAUUUUUAUAAUUUUGGAUUAAUUUUUUUAUGAUUUGGAUAAAAAUUUUGGAUGAUUUAUGAUGUGUUUUAGAUAAAAAUUUAAAAAUAUAAUUUUGAAAUUAUAGUUAUGGAUAAAAUUCCAAAAUUAUAAAAAUUAUAAAAAAUUUAACAUCAUAAAUCAUCCAAAAUUAUAAAAAUUUAUCCAAAAUUAUAAUUUUUUAAUAAUUUCGGAUGAUUUACAUUUUUGUAAUUUUUAUAAUUUUGGAUAAGAUUAUACUUUUUUUAUAAUUUUGAAUAAAAUUAUAUUUGUUAUAAUUUUGGAUGAUUUAUGAUGUAUGUUGGAAUUAUAAGGGUAAAAUGAUAAAUAUAUUGGCAUUCAGAUAUUUUAAUAUGAUUGUUAUCAAACAAUAAAUUUCUUUCAGUAAAUUUUUCAUUCAGGCAAAUUCUUCAUUCAGUGUAUUCAGCAAAUUUAAUGACUCAGCAUUUUUUAUUCAGUUUUAUCAAACAACCUCUUAGUCGAAAGUGUAGCGAUUGGGAUGAUCAAAAAGAGUAACUAUCCUUAUUCAAAAAAAAAAGAAAAAAGAGUAACUAUCCGGUUGAACUUUUAUAUUCGAGCAAAUUUGGUCAAAAAUAAUGUUUUCACGCUAAACUUUUUUUCAGAAACAAAAGGCAAAAUUCCCGUCUUCAAUUUAUUUUCGACCGUGAGUAUUUUCGACUGGGACUAGGCUGGAAAACCUUCGCUCAAAUUUUGGAGGGACAGAAGUGAAUGGCUUAUAAGCGGUUAAAAAUAGUCCACAAUUUUGACGGAUUUUUUCAACAGGUCUCUAAUUUGACUAAGUCUCGUCGUCACUUUUAACUUCGAACUAUUACCGUCGAAAAUAUAUGCGAUCAAAAUUAGCCGCUUUUCUUAUAUCACAUAAUAACGUGUUGAAGGGUAAUUGAAAUUUGAUAUGGUGAAACACAAACCGGAAUCACUAUUAUUGUUGUUAAAAAUCUUUGAUUUUCGGCUCUCCAUUGUAUCUUCUUUGUCUCUUCAGCUUACUCAUUUUUCGAGUUUGGUCACAUAUUCUGCUGCAUGCAAUGUUGUAUACAAUUCAGAAACUUGCGUUAAUAAUCAAAACAUUUGUCAGACUAGAUCCCAUCAAUAUUGAUCUCUUGUUUUAUCAUCAGAAUAUUUUGAUAUGGUUGUAUUUUGGGGUUGUAUACUUGUAUUCCCUCUACCGAACAGAUUGAUUCUGAAUUUUGUUUUGUUGAACUUUUGAAACAAAACUUUUGAACCGAAGUACUAAACAAUUUGACAGUUCAAGAAAGUUGAAUAUCAAAUUUUAUGAUUCACCUAGCGUUUUUGCUUGUGUUUUUUUUAAUAAUAAUCGUAUGAUUUUUUUGAAGUCAAGUUGUGUGUCAUGUGUUUUAAAGCAAGACUAAUAAAGUCCCAAGAUCCAAAAUCAUUAUAAUCAUGUUCCCGUUCAUUCUUUUUUUUUUCCUGACAGGUGAUUAUAAUCUGUAAGAUUAUAAAAAGAUUAUAUUUUAGAAAUAAUCAAUUUAUUUUACUUAAUUCAAUAAAAGAAAGAUUUUGGUAAGAGAGCAUUGAGGGAGUAAUUCAAAUGCAGAGUUGAAAGUGGAAUUUAUCAUUCAAAUUUAUUAUAAUUUCAAUUUUAAUGAAAAAUUAACGAAAAUUAAAGUACUCUGUGAUGUGCUACACUCGCUGAUUUGCUGGAUUCCACCGCAUACCCUGCGUGUCUGGGAUGCAUCAUGCAUAUUGCGUUAUUGUUAAGUUUGUCUUUUGUUUAUUAAAUAAUAAAAUUAAACAUAACUCUAUGAUAACAUUUUCUUUCAUAUGGGGUCAUCAGGGAGUUUUUUAAGAUACGCAUGAAGAAAAAACACAAAAAUACAAACGACCUAAUUAUUCUUAUUAAACCUACCUAGGACACAUGUGGGGUACUAAAUAUAGAGAUAUAGACACAUAUCAUAUCACCAUUAUACUGCAUACUACCACUAUAUUUUAAUAAUAUUAAAAAGAAUAACAUAGUGUUAAUAAUCAAAUCCGAACCUAAUGUUAGUGACAAAAAAAAUCAGAACCUAACAUUAGUGAAAAAAAAAAUUAAUAGUUCAGUGGUAGGUUUCUAAAUAAAUAAUAAGUUUGAUGGUAAAAAAAUUUAUUUUUCCCUAAAAAUUAAUGUAUAUUUUUCAUUUCGAUUCUACUUUUUAAUUUUAUACUAAUUUUUUAAUAGUCACUAAAAAUCUUAAUGACUCAUGAAAUCAUGAUCAAUUUAUUAAAUUUUCAUGUGUACAUUCUGUAAAGAAGUUGGCCCUGCUUAUUUUCUUCUUCCCAUAUGAUUGCAUGUGUUUUUAUAACAAUCCUUAGUUGAGGUAGUUAACUUAAAUUGACAUGUUACAUUUUAUAAAGAAUUUGGUUUCAAAAAAAGAAUUCUAUAAUAGUCGCAAGUUGAGGCAAUUAACUUACAUUGACCUGUUACAUUUUUUAAAGAAUUUGGUAUUAGAAAAUUGAUGCAACCUUUUCAACUCAUAAGCUAAAAUUAUGCACAAUAAUGUAUGUGCAUACAUGUAAUGAAACAUAAAUUUAUAUGGACACAAGCAUGCACACGUAAUCGAGUUUUUAAAAGUAGUUUAAAUUGUUGAUGAGGGCACUGCAUUCGUUAUGUGAAGAGGAACAAAAAGAGAAAUUAGGCUUCAGACUCUUUGACUUGCCGGGAAACAACUAAUAUCUCAAUUACUCUGCCUGUUCUUGAAAAUAACUAUCGACGAACUUAACCAAUAUGUGUAACGAAAAUAAACAACUCAAGCACGCUCCCCACGGAUCCUCCUGGCCAGCUGAAUGUCUUUAGACAUGUUUGUCACACACUUAGAAUGAAUAGCGCACAAGUUAGGCUGUGUUCACUUGGAUGGAAUGGAAUGUGGAGAGAAUGGAAUGAAAUUUGCAUUAUAAAUUGGGAGUGAUUAGUGAAAUUGUUUAUUAUUUUUAUUCUUUCAAUCAUUCCAUUUUAACUAUUUCAACUAAAAAUCUAACCCACAUGUUUUGAAAGGAAUGUUGAUUCUAUUUCAUCAUUUUUUCUUAGCAUCUUCUUCAUGAAAUUUUUUAACUCACUCAUAUUUAAUCAUUAUUACUUUAUACUUUCUCCGAUCUUCAUAAAACUUGUCCAUGUAGUUUCAUUCCAUUCUGCCCUCAUUCUAUUCCAUGAGAUGAACACAACCUUAAUAUCUUCCAACAGGUUUAUUAGGUAUACCUCAGCUGCCUCCCGGAGAGUUAGGACCGCAUGGCUCUGAAAAUGCAAAUCAGUCUGCAACAACAAAUUAAAAUUGCAUGUUGCAAUAAAAUUCAAUACGAUAAGUGAAGAUACAAUAUUUAGGGUUGUUUGUUCCAAAGAAGCAGAAGCUGCUUCUGACUUCGGCUUCUUUUGCCCGUUUGCCUAAAUAAGUAUAAACACUUUUAAGAAGCUGAGAAUGCUAGCUUCUGAGUUCUCUCAGAGAGUAUCUGCUUCUUUUUCAAACACUUCAUUAACUUAUUUACUUCUCUCUUCUUAUCCACUUCUUUACUUUAAAUAAAAAAUCACCUUUUUUUAAACUGACCUAAACCCCCCCUUAGUUCUUCAUUAUCUUCUUCUUCCGAGCAUGUGCGGCCCAGCUGAUCAUCUUCUUUGAAAUAUGGGCAUCACUUACCCCUGGAUCAGACAUGGUAUAAAGCACAGCCAAUAUCAAGGGCUUGUUGGCAAGGGUAUGUUUUUGUCAGAAUAUAUGUAAGGUAUUUAAUUCUGAAAUAUAUGUAAAAAUAUUACUAGGCAUUUGCAGAAAUUAUUGGCAUUAUUUUUCACGAUCUUAUAAUAUUACAUAGCUAGCAUUCUUCAGAGCAUGUGCCACACCCAGCGGAGAGCAUGACCGGUUCGUCUCGAUUUCCGAAUAAUCGUAACCGCAAUUAUAUAUUAUUUUUAAAAUUGAUAACCAUAACUGCCGGUUCGUAUUUUGGUUUUGGUUUAAAAAACCUGACACGGUUAUAACUGCUUGUGUUAAACUUGAACAGUAUAUUGUAAUCCCAGAUAAAUUUACAUUGGCCCGGUUUAUAAAAUAUACUAAUACAUUUACUUAUUUGAAAUUGUUUAGAUUUAAUAAAGUUUUACUGACAUUCAAUGAGCAGGGCAAGCAGCAUGAAGCACCUGCGAAAUUAUCCACCUUAUUAUUUGCAAUUGCUUUUCAAGGACCUCUCUGUAAUCGUCUUAUCAAGCAGGUAUAUGAGUGUAUCUAAUUAUGUAUACGUAAACAUUUGACUAAUUAGAAAAUAUUUCAAAUGCAAAGACUUCUAUAAUUAAAUAAGCGCAUUCCUAUUUUCAGCAGAAUAAUAUGAUCUCUGGCCGUUCAUUUCAAAGUGACGAUUAUCAAAGGUUCCUGUUUAAAGCAGUUGAACGAACUUUGUAGCUUGUUGGGUGAUGCGGAGAAGGUGUUCGAUAAAUUGCCUGUAUGAAGAUUUUUCCAAUUGGUGAGUUUACGUGACAAUAUUUGGUUUUCUUGGAUCGCUACUAAGAACUUUUUAUGCUUGUAACCAUUGGGUCUUUUAAAGUGCUUGGCAUGUCUUAACUUUAUUGUGUUUUUGGAGAUUUUGAUCUCGUGCUAGUUAAGACUAGUUUUAUAUGGAAAUCGAUCUUGGAACCUAGAAAUUGAACCGAGUUUGGGCUACCUUAAAAUUAAGUGAUUGAUUUAGGAAUUUGGGUCUGGGGCUUAGUUAUGGAACCUAAUAUAUUGAGAUCAUCGAGAUCAUUACAAAGAUUAGCUAAAUUAAUUAAUCAAAUACACGCCGCUUAUGAAACCACUGCAGGAUAAAAAAAUCUAUACUUGUGAAUUGUGAUGCAUUUAUUUGACUAUGUAUAUCAGAUAUUUUGGUCCGUGUGCUGAUUUUAGAAAAACAGAUAUUUAAAAAUGAAGGGAGUAUUAUCCAACACUUUCAACUUUUAAUUAAACCAGGUCGAUAUGAUAUAUUUAAAACUGUAAAUAUGAGAUAAUCAUGAAAUGUUUCGUCUUUAUAGAAAUAAGAACAAACAAACAAUGCUAGAAUUACUGAUACCGAACGAUUCUUAGCCGGGACUGAUAUCUUAUUUAUCCUGUUUAUUCUCUGACAUAAAUAUCUACCAACUUAAACAAUAGGCAGAACGAAAAUAAAUAAACUUUUAAUAUAAUGUUGAAGAUAAGUAAAGAUACAAGGUACAAUCGAUUCUCAGGCACCCGAUAAAUAUUAGGUUAUUUUCUGGCUGUUAAAUAUCUAACGGUCAUGAUUAUACUAACAUUUUUUAAUAUGUCAUGUUCAAUGGCUAAAAAACACUGAUUAUAUUAAAAUUUUAUUAUAAUCCUGGGUGCGAAUAUUUAUCUUACGGUCAAAAAUCAUGUUUUUUUGACAGGUUCGUGGCAGUCUAACUGCCAGGAAAAAACUUGAAAUUUUUGCGCAGGUAUAUGAGUGUAUCUGAUUAUGUAUAUGUAAAACAUUUGACGUAAUCAGAAGAUAAAUGAAAUGCAAAGGCUUCUAUAAUCAAAUAAUCGCAUUCCUAUUUUCAGCAGAAUAUGGUAACUGGCCAUUCAUUUGAAAGUGACGAUUACCAAAUGUUCUUGUUUAAACCAGUUCCAAGAAAUUUGCAGCUUGCUGGGUUGUGUUUGUUUUAUAGCUACUGCAAGUUGAGCUGAGUUAAAUAAUAGAUAGUGUACGAGGUUAUUGAAAUUCACAGUAUUAAUCUUGACCCAGUCCUAUCUAUUCUUAAUAAAGAAUGGAGGUUUGUUUGGUGGCUAUCAAUAUUCAAACCCCAGCUAAUUUUAAUAAAUAUAUAUAACUCAGACAGCUCGAAUAUCUCCCUGGGAACGGUGUAGAACUGUAGAUCUACCCAGCCCGUCCCAUAAAACUAUAAAGAUUGUACUAUUCAAUGUUAUUUGGGGCUGUUCGACUUGGUUUAAAAGAAGUUACUUGUCACUUACAAUUAAGAAGUAAAAUGUUAAUUAUAAGUGAAAGAUAAAUUUUAAUUUAUUUGUUUGGAUAAUUUUUUAUGAUAAUUUAUAACCAAUAGGUAUUAAAAAUUAGUAUUCUAAUAAUAAAACUAGCUUUAAAGGUUGUAGACUAAUGUGUGUGUGAAUUAAAGGUCAUGCAGAUUGCUGUGUAGUUUUCUUCUCUCAAAGAACUUAUGAAUCACAAAUUUGUCAUUGUAGGAUGAUUGAAUCUUAAUUUUGAAGAUCUACUUCAAAUGAUCUCCACUGCAUCAGGCAUUUGUAUAUGAUGCAAUAUAAAACCAAGGUGCUGUGCAAUACAAUGCAGUAUUUCAAAUGUGAACUCAACAAUAUAUCUUCUUAGUGGUUAACAAUACUACAUGUAAAGAUAAUGAUAGUGAAAUCAAGAUUCAGAUGAUAUGGAUAUAAUAUCAUUUUAGACAUAAGAAAGUUUGAUAAUCACAACACUGCAUCAAAUUUUAAAUUGUCAGAGUAUUGAAAUCAAUCAUGCAGUUCUACAAUUCAUUUUAUGCUAUUGAGUAUUGUGUUCCCAACGGAUGACAGUAUAAAAUUUCAGAGCCGGAAAGAAUUUAUCCCUCCUCUGUUAAUAGACCAAAAUUAAGCAAGAUACAAGAAAGCACAUCCAUAAAAGGGUUUGUUUAUCAUCAAAGAGUUUAUUUUUUCCGGUGUGUGUUCAUGGGCACAUGCUAAGCACUAAAUUUUAUGUAGGACCUGGGUCAACAGAGCAUAAACCCUUAACCACUGGGCUAUCCAAUCGUGCUCAUGUAUUUAACUAAUUUUGAUUGGCUCCUACUUUGUAAUAAUGGUUGACCGUUGACCCUUCUGCAUAUACAAAAACUUCACCAAUCAAUUUGAGCUAAAUGCAAAGAUUUUAGUGCUUAGUAUGUGCCCAUGAGCACAAACUAGACAAAAGCGAAAAAUAUAACAAUUCGAGAGGGGAUACAAUAAAUAUUAAAAAUAUCACAUAGUCAUAUAAUCAAAAUACAGUUACAUUAAAUCAACUAGCAGUUCGAGUAACAUUAUUGCUUUCUUAUAUUAAAUCACAUUAAUCUACUAACUGCAAUUAUUUAUAGUUUAUACACUGGUCUAAUAGAAAUCAGGGUCUCUGGCUCAAUUUCAAAUCUAAAAAAAUUGUCCAAACAUUGUAUUUAGGCUUCAGAAAGCGCAGGCAUCCGAUUUCUGCAAAGCUUAGUUGGUUUAGUAUUAUGCUGCCACUGUUCAUAACUUCCAUGACUCUUUUUUGCCCUAACAAACUCUCGUGAGAAGGUGGAUGCUCAUGGUAAAGUUUUCAAGUGUAAGGUAUUUUUCUGUCAGAAUAUAUUUCAGAUAUUUUAAAUAAGCUAGUAUCAGUAAAGUCAUCUAAGGAUCGCAGAAAAUAAAACGCAGCUGAAUCCGCAAGGCGGAAAGUUUCACAUUUACAUCAAUAUUAUUGCAUAAGACUAACUGAUUAUAAUCAGCUAUUUAAAAUUAAUCUGAAGAUGGUUCGUUUCAAGCCUCCCAUAAUUCAUAAUAUCACCCAAAAAAAAACUCAAAGUAUUAUGAACUCUUUAGGCCUGACGGAGGCAUGGUGGGUGAAAGGAGCCCAAAUCACAAUUUUUAUGUCAUUUGUAAGUUUAUGCAGCGUGCAUAAAGAUAUAUAAAGAUUAGACGUAAAUUAGUAAUUUGUCUCGUGUUAUGAACAGUGCCGACAUUUCAAACGAGAAACGUUUUUAGAGACGGAGGGAGUAUAACUUAAGUUUGUAUUAAAAUAUUGAUUUGAGCUUGGACGUCCAAUUAGUGUGAACGAAACAUGGAGAUGCACAAUGAGACAAAUAAGUUUCUUAAGGUCACAUGAGAAGAAUAAGUUUUUUAAUAGUCAUUAGAAAUCAUGAUUCACUAAAUUGUCUUGUGUACUUUUUAUAAAGACUUUGGCCUUGAAAACUGAUGCAACUUUUUCUACUUAUUUUCUUCUUCCCAUGUGGUUGUGUUUGUUUUACAGCAACUGCAAGUUGAGCUGAGUUAAGAAAAAAUUUACUAAAAUAUAAUUCAGGCAGCUCCCAAUUCCCAUGUCUCCCUGGAACUGUGUAGAUCUACCGAGCCCGCCCCAUAAAGCGAUAAAGAAUGUACUUUUUGAGUUUAUUUUGGGCGGUUCGACUUGGUUUAAAAGAAGUUAGUUACUACUUAUAGGUAAGAAGUCACUUAUACUUGAAAAAUAAAUUUCUAUUUUUCUGUGUGGAUAAUUUUUUGAUAAUUCUUUACUAAUAGGUAUAGAGAUUAGUAUUAUAAUAAUAAAACUAGCGUAGAAGCAUGUGCAAGGCACGGCUACUGUUGUGUAGACUAAUAUGUGUUUGAAUAAAAGGUUGCAGGCUGCAACAGGCCUUGCCUUCAGAAAAUCCAAGGUGCUGUGCAACGCAACUCAGAAGCAAAUCCUGAUGCUCUUGCCUUUAGAAACAAUGAAGAGGGUUGUAGAACAAAACCAGAAAUUUCAAGUUUGUGCCCUUUCAUGGGUUGUUGAAGCUGAAAUGUCACUCCAUUGAAGUGACCGAGUACUCAUGCUUAUUAUUGAGCCCUGUAAGCUAGAGUCCUCUAGUGGCAAGCAAAACCAGGAUAUGUGUCUAUCACAAUCCUCUAAUGGUUGGCAAGCAGAACCAGGACUUUAGAGAAGUUGAAACAGUCUUCUAAUGACAAACAUAACAGUCUCUUCCAAUCUAUUUCUUCAAAUUCUUCUCCAUCUCUUAUCUUUCCUUCUCGCUUCUUCUUCUACCUUUACAACAGAUCAUCUUCCUUUUUACUAGCGUCUAAUCAUCAAUCCAUUAUCUUCAAGCUAAGAGUUCACAAAGUUCCCACUCUUUAGCUUGAGGGGGAGUGUUAAGGGAUAAGAUAAAAGGCUUUUAUGGUCUUUCUAUCCAGAACAUUUGUUUUUACUAGAAUUUAGUAUUGUUUGUAACCUUCUAUAUAUACUGGAGAUGUAAUAACUAUACGAAGACAAGUAAAAAGAAAUGUAGUCAAUUAAUUUCUCUUCUUUCUUGUUCGUGUGUUGCUCUGUAAGUUUGCAACUAUGGUUCUCACCAUCACUGACUUAUAAAAUCAUCAGAAGAUUCUGUUGUUCCUUGAAGAGAACUAACCCAAGCUGCAACAAAAAUAAUAGCUUACAAUUCUAUAGAUUCACCUUAUAGAGUUAUACAAUGGUCAUUUAUUACAAAAUCAUUUCAAUUCAUCUAACCCUUAGACCUUGUAACGAAGCUAAACAAUCUGUUAAACCUAAGAUCAAAUCUUAAAGAAAAUCUUCUAUAGUGGACAAACAUCUGCUAUACAUUCCAAGAUUAUUAAUAAAUAUAUCUUGAAUCAUCUUAAGUAACAAGCUUCGAAGGCCUACAACACUCUUCAUAAAGUCACAAACCAUGUUUCCUUUGGCCUUUUAACAUGGCAGUUAAAAAGAAUUUGUCAGGUUCAGAAUAUAUUAUAUUAAUCCUGUUAGGCAGUCUACUUCUUUAAGGAUUUAAGUUCAAAUCUUAACAUUUAUGCGGUCAAUCUUAUGCAGAAGCAAACCUACAUAGCAUUUAAGACAUCUGCAAAAAUAAUAAUAGGCAUCUGCAGAAUUUACUGGCAUUAGAUUCAGCGAUCUUGCAAUAUUACAUAACUAGCACAAAAGAACUUUUGUGGCAUUUUCAUUUCGUUCCUUUAAUAGUGGCUGUUUGAUGUGGAGGAAAGAUCACAUACAAUGUUAAAGCCAGUUUCAGUAAAGUGAUCUAAGGAUCGCAGCAAGAUUAUAACGCGACUGAAUCCGCAAGGCUGAAAGUUCCAGGUUCACAUCAAUAUUUUUGCAGAGAAAAUACAAACAAUUAAUUAACAUUAGGAAUUAAUUAUUUAUUAAAAAUAAUGGAAAUAUCGUAUAUAUACAAUCAAACAUUCACAAUAGAAAAAAAAAGUUAUCAUUUUGAAUAAUAAAUUUAAAUAAAAUACUGAAACGUCUAAAGUUUCAAUACUAAAAUUAUGUGAUUGUUUAAGGUAAUUGCUCCAUAAAGAAGCUGAGAAUGUUAGCUUCUCUCUCACAGCUUCUGCUUCUUUUCCAAACACUUUAUUAACUUAUUUACUUCUCACUUCUACUCCACUUCUUUACUAUAAGCAAGAAGUCACUUCUUUUAAGCUAACUUAAACGGCCCCAAUGUAACUAAAGAAAAUAAUGGAAUCUUGAUUAACCAAGUAUCUGUCCAAAUAGUCUAAAGUGGAGAAACAAAUUCAUUUUAGAAUGAGACUUUAAUCAUCAACAAAUAGAAUUAAAAUUCUUCAAAUUAAACAAAAACAAAAUACAUUCAAAUUGAACAUAAACAAAUUACAAAUUUUAUGAUAUUGUAAUGUGAUGCACGAGUGCCGAGAAUCUUCCAGGGCGUUUCUAAGACUUCUAGUUGGUUUGGAUCAAGAUACGUUCUAGUUGGACUGGAAUGCUCCUCAGCUCUCCACACCGAAUUGUUCUAAAACUUUCGAGGCAAGGGAGUGCUCUGUCCUCGACUUGCAAUUCUUUUAGAUCGGUGAAAUAUCGUAGUCUUAAACUUUGAAGACUUGGAAACGCAUUUUUACUGCAAACCAUUUUGUUCCCCUCAUACACUACAUACAAAUCAAGAGUCGUAAGAUUCCGUAAAUUUCCCAAGCUGGGCAUUGGAUCUUCAGUGAACCUACUAUGAGACAGAUUUAAAUCCUCGACUGAAUUUGGCAGAAAACGGAAUUCUGAUAGUUCUAUAACACCCCUUAAAGUUAUGCUCUUGAGACGAUUCAAAACCGAAAACGGUUUCAAUGUUGAAAUAACGACAUCAUGACCACACUCAAAUAUGAACGUUUGGAGAUUUGUUAAAUUAGCAAUGGAUUCAAAAGUGCGACCUCCUCCUCCCUCUCUAUCUCUUAUAUAUAAUGUACAGAGGUUAGUGAAAUUGACGGUAUCAAUCUUGACCCAUUCCCUGAAAUCUAUACCAGAAAAAGAAUGGAGCUUUGUUUGAUGGCUACCUAUAUUCAACCUCUCGCUAAUUUCAAUGAAUAAAUCGUACAAAUGCCUCAGCUCAGGCAGCUCCCACAUCUCUUUGGGAACUGUGUAGUAACAAUCAUGGUGCCCACCCCAUAAAGAUCGUAACUUUUUCAGCUUGCCUAUACUUGCUGGCACUGCUAUUGUUCUCCUGACGGUACCCAUUAAGCCUAAAAACUUUAAAAGAACCAGUUCCCCUAAUUCUUCUGGUACACUCUUUGAUGCUACACACGACAUAUCUAGCACUGUGAGAUUUUUAAAUCCAGUGUACAUCAACUUUAUUUCUUUUAAUUCCACUUUAAAUCUAUAACCUGCCAACAUUAGGGAAUGCAAAUAUAAAGCAUCAAAUCUACGCUGCUCAAGUAAUUUAAGGUACUCACCAAUUUCAUCGUAAAUAGCAUGACGCCGUUGUCCUUCCAAUAAAUGGAUGAGAUUUGGCUGGUGUUUACUUGAAUCAAAAAUAACCAACAAAUUCUGCUCCUUUGCUUUUUUUAUGGCAAGUUCACGCACAAGAUCAUGGACCCGGCAUGUGACAAUUUUCCCAUUCAAUUGCCAAUACUCAAUCUGAAUCAAGUUGCGAUUAAUUAGCUCGUUCAGACAAUCCUCGGCCAAAUCCUCCAUGAGUACUCCAUCUCCUUCUUCAUCUUCUGAUAUGAAUUCCUCUGCAAUCCAUAAGUGCUUCAAAGGUUCGACGAAAAUGAUUUUAUCUUCUGGAUAUCUUGCAAGGUAGAGAAAACAAUCUCUCAAUUGGGGAGACAAGUCUUUAUAACUCAAGCUUAGUAUUUCUACAAUAUCCACAGAGUCAUCUGUCAAGUUUCUCCAGAUAAGCUCCUUCACCUUUGACCAAUAGUCGUAGCUCUUGUUGUGGAAUAAAAGGCCACCCAGUAUCACAAUUGCAAGUGGUAAACCUCCACAUUUACCAACCAUCUCCCUUCCCAAGUUCUCCAAAUUCUGGUUUGGUUCUGCUAUCUUGCAGAACAAUUCCCAGCUUUCCUCUUCCCUCAAAAGACGAAGUGGAUAGGCUAAACCAUUCUUGAUAUCCACAGUCUCUGCGACUUUCUUGUUUCUUGUGGUAAUGAUGAUCCUACUACCGUUGUCCUGGUUUGGAAAUGCGAUCUUGAUCUGGUUCCAAGCGUUUAUAUCCCAUAUAUCAUCAAUAAGUACCAAAUAGCAACCUUCAUUCUGGAGUAACUGUGGUAGGUAUUGUAGCAAGUCACGCUCAUCCAUGUUUGACAUAUAUUGUUCGUGCUCAGGUCCUUUGAAAGACUUUAUUAUCCUCUUAAGGACAUCUUUGAUAGUAUAUUCGUUGGAGACACACACUUUAGCACGGGUGCCAACAUGUCUCAACUCGUUAGAGUUGUACAACUUGGUGGCAAGUGAAGUCUUGCCCAACCCCCCCAUUUCGUGAAUGGAAAUGAUUUUAAGGGGCGGAUCCUCGUUAUUAAGUUCUGUCAUCAACUUGUCAACAUCCUCCCUAAAGCCAACUACAUCCACCUUGUUAUCAAUGGCGCUUGCUCUUAUCAAGGUUCUCUCUUUUUGUUUCACGUCUGGGCCGGCUAAAAUAUUGUCGAUCCCAUACUCGAGUCUCCUCUCCUUGAUGACACCGAUCCUUUUCUUGAGUGACUCGAUAUCAUUGCCAAUGUCAUAAAGCUGAGCUUCUUUCUUGCAGAUGCAAAUACAGUUGAGAAAUGUAUGCAUAUGACCUUGACCUUGUUCCAG